CUACGGGAGGCAGCAGUGGGGAAUUUUCCGCAAUGGGCGAAAGCCUGACGGAGCAACGCCGCGUGAGGGAUGAAGGCCUCUGGGCUGUAAACCUCUUUUAUCAAGGAAGAAGAUCUGACGGUACUUGAUGAAUAAGCCACGGCUAAUUCCGUGCCAGCAGCCGCGGUAAUACGGGAGUGGCAAGCGUUAUCCGGAAUUAUUGGGCGUAAAGCGUCCGCAGGCGGUCUGUCAAGUCUGCUGUUAAAGCGUGGAGCUUAACUCCAUUUCGGCAGUGGAAACUGACAGACUAGAGUGUGGUAGGGGCAGAGGGAAUUCCCGGUGUAGCGGUGAAAUGCGUAGAUAUCGGGAAGAACACCAGUGGCGAAGGCGCUCUGCUGGGCCAUAACUGACGCUCAUGGACGAAAGCCAGGGGAGCGAAAGGGAUUAGAUACCCCUGUAGUCCUGGCCGUAAACGAUGAACACUAGGUGUCGGGGGAAUCGACCCCCUCGGUGUCGUAGCCAACGCGUUAAGUGUUCCGCCUGGGGAGUACGCACGCAAGUGUGAAACUCAAAU
RNAcentral lists this ribosomal RNA (553 nucleotides) under uncultured bacterium. RNAcentral's name for it is "bacterial SSU rRNA". It matches the Rfam family "Bacterial small subunit ribosomal RNA", at positions 339 to 906 of the family's 1533-position model. The record is from RNAcentral.